CGCGUAGGUGGCGGGGUAAGUUUGAUGUGAAAUCUCCGGGCUUAACCCGGAAACUGCAUUGAAUACUAUUCUGCUGGAGGUUUGGAGGGGGGACUGGAAUUCUCGGUGUAGCAGUGAAAUGCGUAGAUAUCGAGAGGAACACCAGUGGCGAAGGCGAGUCCCUGGACAACACCUGACACUGAGGCACGAAAGCUAGGGGAGCAAACA
Molecule: ribosomal RNA, 207 nt
Filed under: uncultured bacterium
Lineage: Bacteria
Description: partial 16S ribosomal RNA
Rfam family: Bacterial small subunit ribosomal RNA
Source: RNAcentral